Molecule: ribosomal RNA, 481 nt
Filed under: uncultured bacterium
Lineage: Bacteria
Description: partial 16S ribosomal RNA
Rfam family: Bacterial small subunit ribosomal RNA
Source: RNAcentral
GAUGAACGCUGGCGGCGUGCUUAACACAUGCAAGUCGAACGAAGCAUUUGCGACAGAUUUUUUCGGAAUGAAGUUGCUUAUGACUGAGUGGCGGACGGGUGAGUAACGCGUGGGUAACCUGCCUUGUACUGGGGGAUAGCAGCUGGAAACGGCUGGUAAUACCGCAUAAGCGCACAAUGUUGCAUGACAUGGUGUGAAAAACUCCGGUGGUAUAAGAUGGACCCGCGUCUGAUUAGCUAGUUGGUGAGAUAACAGCCCACCAAGGCGACGAUCAGUAGCCGAGCUGAGAGCGUGACCGGCCACAUUGGGACUGAGACACGGACCAGACUCCUACGGGAGGCAGCAGUGGGGAAUAUUGCACAAUGGAGGAAACUCUGAUGCAGCGACGCCGCGGGAGUGAAGAAGUAAGUCGUUAUGUAAAGCUCGAUCAGCAGAGAAGAUAGUGACGGUACCUGACGAAGAAGCUCCGGCUAAAUACGUG